RNAcentral lists this ribosomal RNA (510 nucleotides) under Afronurus levis. RNAcentral describes it as "Ecdyonurus levis partial 16S ribosomal RNA". It matches the Rfam family "Bacterial large subunit ribosomal RNA", at positions 1829 to 2601 of the family's 2925-position model. The record is from RNAcentral. Lineage: Eukaryota; Metazoa; Arthropoda; Insecta; Ephemeroptera; Heptageniidae.
CGCCUUUUGGGGAAAUAGAAGGUCUAACCUGCCCACUGAAGAAGUUAAAGGGCCGCGGUAUUUUGACCGUGCAAAGGUAGCAUAAUCAUUAGUCUUCUAAUUAAAGGCUGGAAUGAAUGGUUGGACGAGGUACUAGCUGUCUCACUGAGAAAUUUUUGAAUUUAGCUUUUUAGUCAAAAGGCUGAAAUAAGGUUGGAGGACGAGAAGACCCUAUAGAGCUUUACGUUAGACUUUUUUAAUUUGUUUGGCAGGAUUUUAAUUUUAAAGGGUAAACGUUUCGUUGGGGUGACGGGAAGAUAUAAUCAACUCUUUUUGAAUUUUAACACUGAUGAGUGAAUGAAUGAUCCAUUAUUAAUGAUUAAAAGACUAAGUUACCUUAGGGAUAACAGCGUAAUCUUUUUUGAGAGUUCUAAUCGACAAGAAGGGUUGCGACCUCGAUGUUGGACUAAGGGUUAUUUUUGGGUGCAGCAGCUCAAAGUUUAGGUCUGUUCGACCUUUGAAUCCUUACAU